This 698-nucleotide ribosomal RNA is filed under the name uncultured bacterium. Its description in RNAcentral is "bacterial SSU rRNA". It matches the Rfam family "Bacterial small subunit ribosomal RNA", at positions 60 to 756 of the family's 1533-position model. The record is from RNAcentral.
AGUCGAACGAAGCGCCUGCGGCGGACCCCUCCGGGGGAAAGCCGCGGGGGACUGAGUGGCGGACGGGUGAGCAACGCGUGGGCAACCUGCCCCGUACCGGGGGACAACAGCCGGAAACGGCUGCUAAUACCGCAUAUUCCCGCGGGGCCGCAUGGCCCUGCGGGGAAAGCUCCGGCAGUACGGGAUGGGCCCGCGUCUGAUUAGCUUGUUGGCGGGGUAACGGCCCACCAAGGCUGCGAUCAGUAGCCGGCCUGAGAGGGCGGCCGGCCACAUUGGGACUGAGACACGGCCCAGACUCCUGCGGGAGGCAGCAGUGGGGGAUAUUGCACAAUGGGGGGAACCCUGAUGCAGCGACGCCGCGUGAACGAAGAAAUAUUUCGGUAUGUAAAGUUCUAUCAGCAGGGAAGAAAAUGACAGUACCUGACCAAGAAGCCCCGGCUAACUACGUGCCAGCAGCCGCGGUAAUACGUAGGGGGCGAGCGUUAUCCGGAUUCACUGGGCGUAAAGGGAGCGCAGGCGGCACGGCAAGUCCGGUGUGAAAGCCCGGGGCCCAACCCCGGGACUGCACUGGAAACUGCCGGGCUGGAGUGUCGGAGGGGCCGCCGGAACUCCUAGUGUAGCGGUGAAAGGGGUGGAUAUUUGGAGGAACACCGGUGGCGAAGGCGGCCUGCUGGACGACGACUGACGCUGAGGCUCGA